RNA transcript from Lagenorhynchus albirostris (white-beaked dolphin), 3960 nucleotides. It is a transcript of the gene named zinc finger MIZ-type containing 2, with no coding region annotated. The transcript has 18 exons. The record is from RefSeq and is a predicted model, not a curated record. NCBI's taxonomy places the organism in Eukaryota, Metazoa, Chordata, Mammalia, Artiodactyla, Delphinidae.
GGCGGCUCCAUUGUGCCCUCGGAGCGGGCGGUGGCGAGAUGGCGCGGACCGCGGCGGCCCCGGGGCGGCGGGCGGCGCUGAGGGCGGGCUGAGCGCAUGGAGCGGCGCGGACCGUGGGCCGCGGCGGCGAGGGGCCUGGCCGGGCCGCUUGGAGCCAGAGCAUCUGAGUCCCACGUAAGCACCAGUGAGGGCUGCUUCCUGCCACCCACAGACCUGGCCUUAAGGCUGCUCCCAAGCCAAUGAACCCCAUGAACCCCAUGAAACCCGCCCUGCCCCCCGCGCCACACGGUGAUGGUCCAUUCGCUUAUGAGGCGGUGCCUUGGCAACAGAGUGCCACUCAGCCAGCAGGAUCGCUGUCCGUGGUCACAACCGUGUGGGGAGUCGGCAACGCGGCGCAGAGCCAGGUUUUGGGGAACCCUAUGGGCCCCGCAGGGAGCCCCCCCGGCAGCUCCAUGAUGCCCGGCAUGGCAGGCGGCAGCUCUGCCCUGAACUCCCCGCAGUGCCUGGGACAGCAGGCGUUCGGUGAGGGCGGUGCCAACAAGGGCUACGUGCAGCAAGGGGUGUAUGGCCGCGGGGGCUACCCCGGGGGCCCCGGCUUCACCGCUGGGUAUGCGGGCGGCCCGGGGGGGCCGGGGGGCCUGGGCCUUCCCUCACAGGCCGCACGGCCCUCCACCGACUUCACUCAAGCAGCGGCGGCUGCUGCCGUGGCUGCUGCUGCCGCCACGGCCACGGCCACGGCCACGGCCACCGUGGCCGCCCUCCAGGAGAAGCAGAGCCAGGAGCUGAGCCAGUACGGAGCGAUGGGGGCCGGACAGUCUUUUAACAGCCAGUUCCUGCAGCACGGCGGUCCCCGGGGGCCCAGUGUCCCCAGCAGCAUGAACCCUGCCAGCGUGGGAGGGCUGAUGGGCCCCUCCGGCAUGAGCCCCAUGGGCAUGAACCCCACCCGGGCAGCGGGCCUAGCGCCCCUAUAUGCAGGGCAGCGCCUGCCCCAGCACGGGUACCCUGGGCCCCCCCAGGCCCAGCCCCUGCCCCGACAGGGCGUCAAGAGAGCCUACUCCAGUGAGGUGUAUCCUGGGCAGCAGUACCUGCCAGGAGGCCAGUACACGCCCGCCGCCACCCAGUACGCGCCUGGCCCCGGGCAGCCCCCCGCCCUGUCCUCCUAUCCUGGGCACAGGCUGCCCCUGCAGCAGGGUGCGGGCCAGUCCCUGUCCACCCCCAGCCCCGCGGGACUGCACUACAAGCCCGCCCGUUCCAUCCCCGGCUACCCCAGCUCCCCACUGCCAGGGAGCCCCACGCCGCCCAUGACCCCCGGCAGCAGCAUCCCCUACAUGUCCACCAGCCAGGAGGUCAAGUCGCCCUUCCUGCCCGACCUCAAGCCCGGCGUGAGCAGCUUGCACCCGUCACCACCCGGCAGUGGCCCCUGUGACGAGCUGCGGCUGACUUUCCCCGUGCGGGACGGGGUGGUCCUGGAGCCCUUCCGCCUGCAGCACAACCUGGCCGUAAGCAAUCACGCUUUCCAGCUCCGUGACUCCGUCUACAAGACCCUGAUGCUGAGGCCGGACCUGGAGCUGCAGUUCAAGUGCUACCACCACGAGGACCGGCAGAUGAACACCAACUGGCCGGCCUCGGUGCAGGUCAGCGUCAACGCCACCCCGCUCACCAUCGAGCGUGGCGACAACAAGACCUCCCACAAGCCCCUCUACCUGAAGCACGUGUGCCAGCCGGGCCGCAACACCAUCCAGAUCACCGUCACGGCCUGCUGCUGCUCCCACCUCUUCGUGCUGCAGCUGGUGCACCGGCCGUCCGUCCGCUCGGUGCUGCAGGGUCUCCUCAAGAAGCGCCUCCUGCCUGCCGAGCACUGCAUCACCAAGAUAAAGCGGAACUUCAGCAGCGGCACCAUCCCUGGCACCCCUGGGCCCAACGGAGAGGACGGGGUGGAGCAGACGGCCAUCAAGGUGUCUCUCAAGUGCCCCAUCACCUUCCGCAGGAUCCAGCUCCCUGCCCGAGGCCAUGACUGUCGCCACAUUCAGUGCUUUGACCUGGAGUCCUAUUUACAGCUCAACUGUGAGCGAGGGACCUGGAGGUGCCCCGUGUGCAACAAGACGGCAUUGCUGGAGGGCCUGGAGGUGGACCAGUACAUGCUGGGCAUCCUCAUUUACAUUCAGAACUCUGACUACGAGGAGAUCACCAUCGACCCCACGUGCAGCUGGAAGCCAGUGCCUGUGAAGCCUGACGUGCACGUCAAGGAGGAGCCGGACGGGCCGGCGUUGAAGCGCUGCCGCACCGUGAGCCCCGCCCACGUGCUCAUGCCCAGCGUGAUGGAGAUGAUCGCUGCCCUGGGCCCUGGGGCCGCGCCCUUCGCCCCCCUCCAGCCCCCCUCAGCCCCGGCUGCCGGCGAUUACCCCAGCCAGGCUUCCAGCUUCCUGGGACCCGGGACGUUCCCCGACUCCUUCCCGCCCACCACGCCCAGCACCCCGACCCUUGCUGAGUUCACCCCGGGGCCCCCCCCUGUCUCCUAUCAAUCCGACAUUCCCAGCAGCCUCCUGACACCGGAGAGAUCUGCCCCCUGCCUCCCAGGCCAGAUGGCACCAGCGGGUCACCUGGACCCGGCCCAUAACCCUGGGCCUCCGGGGCUGCACGCCCCCAACCUUGGAGGCCCCCCAGGGCCCCAGCUGCACCAUCCAAACCCUCCCCCGGCAUCCCGGCAGCCCCUGGGCCCGGUGAAUUCGGGUCCCAUCGGUGAGCUGGCCUUCAGUGCUGCCACAGGCAUGAUGGGGCCCCCCGUGUCUGGGGCAGGGGAGGCCCCGGAACCGGGCCUGGACGUGAGUACUGGGCCCCGUGCUGGGGAGCACUUGGAGCCGGGGCUGGGGUGUGGCUUAUCUGUCAUCCCAGGGUCCACAUGCUUCAUAGAAGGGAGGACAGUGAUACCACCGUGACUUCCAGACGCAGGGAGAGCUGGUCGGGUGACGUCAGCGCUUUUGUUGACGAGUGUGAGCUGCUCCCAGAACUGACUAACCCUGACGAGCUGCUGUCCUACCUGGGCCCACCCGACCUCCCCACAAACAGCAAUGACGACCUGCUCUCUCUCUUCGAGAACAACUGAUCCUGUUGACCACCUGGCCGACGGGGACAUGCCCGCAGAUGUCACACACCCUCCUCUCCAGCCCGGCCCCCCCGACACCAGCGGCCCUCCCCACACGUACACCUGGAGCCAGGACGCGCCCCGACGCCUGGCCCUGGAGGCUGGAGGCGGCCCUGCACUGGCUGGGAGGGGACCCCUGGGCGGUGGUGCUCGCUGGCCCAGUUUGCAGCUGCAGAACUGUUUUUGAUGAGAUCCCCAGCCCCGCCCUUGUCCCUGCCCCGUCCACACCCCACCCAUGCUUGUCCAGCCCUGCCUGGUUCAUGCACACCUGCCGCCCCUGGCCCCCCGACCCCUGCCUGCUCUCACCGGCCUGCAUCUUGUCCACCGUUGACCUUUUUACUUCAAUGACCCCUUGGCCCUGGGCCGGUGAGGAGCGGGGCUGCUCUGUCCCGGGGCCCCGUCUCGCCCAGCCUCCUGUGGCAGGGGCUGGGGGUGUCCCUCCUCCCACCCGAGGCUUCAGGCUGACGCUGGCGGUGGGGCCUCUACAGCACAACAGUGUACCUAGCGUAGAAACGCUGACAGAUGUAGGGUGGCUGGGCCUCUGUGCAGCCGGGGCUCCUGCCCUGGCCGUGUGCAUACAGCGGGGGGGGGGGGGGCAAGCUCCCUCCUGCUGGAGGCGGGGCUCGGACUCGGCUCCCCCAAGCUCCCCUUCUCCGUGAAAGUGAAGAAUUGGUCUCGCUGUGUUUUUUAAAACCACACCUCUCCCGUGUCCGCCCUGGGGCCACGCCAGGUGGGGGAGGAGCCGCCGCACUGCAGGUGCAGGGCCGAGCUGUGUCCCCUGUCUGCCCGUCUCUAUUAAAGGACUCCCUCGUGGUGGA